RNAcentral lists this non-coding RNA (21 nucleotides) under Caenorhabditis elegans. The record is from RNAcentral. Lineage: Eukaryota; Metazoa; Nematoda; Chromadorea; Rhabditida; Rhabditidae.
UCUGAAAGCGGAGUGUUAAAA